UUGGGACCAAUUCAGAGAGUGGUUUGGGCUUUCUUCCCAAUGAUACGGUGGUGAAAUCCUGGCUUCAUCUCUUCUUCUAACCAAUGCCGAAACCCUUGCUGACCACCUUGCAUUUCAGUUGUUGAGGCCAGAAAUCAGAACCUUGCGCCACUGGGCACUUGGGAAUGUAUAGAUUCUGGGAUUCUUCGGAAAAUAUAGCAAAUUCAAGCUUCCAAUGUGCAUUAAGCAAGGGAAAGCAAAUAUUUGAAGGCGACUCAUAAGGAGUUUUUCCUUGUUAAUAUUUAUCCAAAGUCCAAACCAUGGUUUGAUAUUCCAAAUGUAAAAGUGAUUACAAAAAGAAUCACCAUAAAAAUGCAUAGAGAAACAGCUACUACAGAUUACCUUGUGUUGGAAUGCUA
Long non-coding RNA from Lotus japonicus, 398 nucleotides. RefSeq lists it as uncharacterized. NCBI's taxonomy places the organism in Eukaryota, Viridiplantae, Streptophyta, Magnoliopsida, Fabales, Fabaceae. The record is from RefSeq and is a predicted model, not a curated record. The transcript is spliced from 3 exons.